RNAcentral lists this long non-coding RNA (4668 nucleotides) under Homo sapiens (human). Its description in RNAcentral is "Runx2 associated intergenic non-coding RNA isoform 006". The record is from RNAcentral. Lineage: Eukaryota; Metazoa; Chordata; Mammalia; Primates; Hominidae.
AGGAUUUCUGGAACCUUGCACUGAAGCCCCAGCCAGGUAGGGGACCCAUUUCUCUGAGGCCUUCUUUCCCCACACUGCGUCACAUCCCUAACAAUAAUUCAGAGCCCAGUACCUUGGACUCCCAGUCUUCGACCACCUUGUUCCUCUCCUCGGAGGAGCCAGGCCCCUCCACCGCCGCCCUGCCAUCUCCCUCCUCCUCUUCCUGCGAGCCUCAGGCCUUUUCCCCAGGUCCGCCAGCGCUGCCUCCGCUGUUGCCUCCGCUCCCCGCAGCCUCGGCGCCCCCAGGCCCCGGCGCCUCCCGGCGCACAGGCCGCUACUCAGUCGUCGCCUCCUCCCCGGAGGCCGCCCCGCGUCUGGUCGACUGGCUCCCCGGUUGCCCUUCGACCAUCUCUCCCAGCACACGCGGGGAUGACAAGGAGCGGCCGCCGCCCGUCCUGGCACCGGCCGAGGGCCCGGAAAGGAGCCGCGCCCCGCGCCCCAGCACUGCGGGCAGGGAGGAGGGCACCGUGGACGCGGGUACAUCCCCGCCGCCCCGAGCCCGGCCCGCCGCUGCGGCGAGCUUGGAGGCCCACGUCGGGGACAUCCUGGUGGAGCUGCGGACCAUGAACGGCCACCUGGACAGCAUAGCGCGGGCCCUCACCAAACUGGCUUCGUCCCUGGGGCCCCAGCCUGAGCCCCUGCCAGAUGUUUCGGAUGCCAACUAAUGGAGCUCGGCGAGGCUGGGCCGCCCCGGGGCCGAGGGAUCGCUUGCACCAGGCAUCCCUGCCUGUCCCUCCCCAGCAGCGAAGCGCGCCCAGCGGAGGAGCGGUUGCUCUGCGCAGCUGCCUAGCGGAAAGCACGGCCCUAGCGUUUCAGCGUGAAACAGACCCGGUUGCGCCUCACACCCUCCUCCUCCGCUCUCUCACGGCGGCCCCUGCCCCGGCUUCCUGGCCCUUCACAUGCCCUUCUCUUGUCUUGAGCGUCUAGCAGAAAAAGUGCCUGGAAACGGCGGUGGCACCCUGCGAAGGAUGCUUAGAGAAACACUCUUUCACAUCCCAUUCCUGCGACUUCCGCGUGGCGUGGAGGGAGAGGAGCUCAAAGCAAGUCGCCAAAGCAGCAGCGAGGCCAGCUCCAGCGUUGGUGGGGCAUCCAUCUCUGGUGACGUUCACAAGAGGAGAAUUGAUGGCCCAAAGUGAAUGUCCUGCCCUGUGAUCUGCCCUUUAGCGGAAGAAACAGCAAAACCGGCAUCAACUAAAGCAACUGGGAACAUCAAGUUUUUAUUCAUUUGUUGAUUUGAACAGUAUUUCAUUCUGAUUUUAACUGACUUCUUUUGCAUUAGAUUAAAAACAACAACAAAAGACUGAAAUCUUUCAAGAACAAAGAGGAGCUGGCCUAUAAAUCCUAAAUACAGAUGUAGUGAUUGAACCCAUCUAGGUAGCUUAUGAAUAUAAAUCUCACCCAAAGUUUCAUCCACACUUAAGAGAUAACCACUGUUAAUAUUUUGGCAACUACUCUUGGAAGUAUUUGUGUCUAAAUACAAAUACCUAUGCGUAUGCAAUUUUACUUAACUGUGAUCAUAGUAGGCCUGCUGUUCUGUAACCUGUUUUUUUUUAAUCUUGAUAAUAGAUGAUAGAAAUCUUUUCAUUUAAAAAGCAAUGUUAUAUAUGAAGUAAAAUUUGCUUAACCAUUUUUUUAUUUAUGCUUCCGAUUUUUCACUAUUACAUGCAAUGCUGUAAUGAAUCUAUCUGAGCAUACAUGUUUUUACUCUUCUGUAAUUAUGUUGUGUAAGUAAAUUCCUAGAGGUAUGAUUGCUGGGUCCAAGGGCAUACACUCCUAACUUCUUUCUUUAGGGCUGUUAUGGCUUCACCAAAGUUCAAAAAGGGGAAGUGAAUGAAUGGUAGGAGGAACACUGGGGUCUCGGGGUGGCUCCAUUUAAAAACUUUGUAAAAGGGAAAUAAAAACAAAGCUAUCUUCUGAAGAUUAAACUUUAAAAUCAGCACACAGCAGGCCAGAAGAGAGAUGUGCAAAACCAUGCUGAAGAGAUGAAUCAUGGUCACUCACAUGGUGUAUGAGUCCGGUCAGGAAACAGAAGCCCUCCUGGUUUUUCACGCUGAGGGGAUCUAAUUGAGGAAUCAGAAACUGGGUGAUGGAAGGACUGGAGGAACAGUGGCAGUCAGGUAAGGUUAUCCGAAGACUAGCGGCUGCAGGAAAGCGCCACCAGCUGUGGGCUGGAGGAGCCAAGGGGGAACGUCUCCUUGGAAACCAGAAUCGGUGUGAUUCCAAGCCAUGGCUGUAGAACUGAGCUGCUUCAGCAGGAAGCCAAGAGCAGCACUGCUAGGCCAAAGCCCCUGACACUGCAGCCACUGCCACUGCCACCCUUGGGUGUCAAUAGCACUGUCACAACUGCCUGAGACACUACCAGAGGCCAGCAGGGAGGAACUAUCCAGGCUUUUGGCAGUGCCUCCUCUUCACAGAACCUCACUGAAAGCCUGUUGGAGGGCGUCUGGGAAAUGCAGCAUGUGGAGGCUCACCCUGCUAUGCUAGAGCAUAGCAAAGAAGGCUGGGAACGCAGCUGACAGCGAGUAGGCAAAUGAUCCGUGCAAGUAGUACUGUGGGUCAAAGCAGUGGGAUAGCUAAAGAGAGCAACUGUCAGUCAGAGGAAGGGCAUCGCAGCCAUGGAGGCACUGAAGAUGGGGCGUCACAGAGUGACAUGGGCAGUGCUUAUGCCAGCAGAGGUGGGCUUGGCUCUCUGGAGCUAGCCACAGGAAGAACCCUGUGGUGACCGCCGCCCCUUGGCUCUCAGUCUAUGCCACGAGAACAUGCUGUGGGAGACUGGCCCACAGAAGUGGCUCUGCUGCAGAGCACAGACAGAUGGGGUUUCUGAACCUUCUUGGUGGACUGCUAGGCCCUGGGCAAGGGCAGGCUAACCAGUGUGCAUUGCCAUUCUGGGAGACAGGAAGCCAGCCUGCCCAUAAGGCAGAUAAGUCUUAAUAUUUUUGUGCUGCUAUAACAAAAUACCUGAGACUGGGCAAUUUAUAAACAACAGAAAUUUAUUUCCUCACAGUUCUGGGGGCUGGGAAGAUCGAGGAACCUGCAUGUUCAGUGUCUGGUAAGGACUUAGUCUCUCCUUCCAAGAUGACACCCCUUGUUGCAUCCUCACAUGGCAGAAGGUGAAAGGGCACAAGGAGAAACAUCUUGCCAAUUCCCUCUAGCCCAUUAUAAGGGCAGAGCCCUCAUGGCUUAAUCACUUCCCAGAAGGCCCCACCUCUUAAUACUAUCACAUGGAGUCUUAGGUUCCAAUAUAUGGAUUUUGGAGACACAGACGUUCUAAUCAUAGCCACAUACCUCCCAGGGACUGGCCCUUGGCCGUCUUCCUUUACCAAAAGGACAUCUGCACAAGUGUUUAUUGGGUUCCUAUCAGGUCCUGGCCUUGUGCUAUGUGCUCUACAUAUAGGAUCUCAUUUAUUCCUUUCAGUAACCCUGUGUGCAAGGUUAGGAGGUAGGGCCUAUCACUCCCAUUUCACUGAUCAGGAAACUGAGGCACAAAAAGGUCAAGUGACUUGCCCAUGGUCACAUAGCUGGUACCGAACGGAGACAGGAUCUGUUUGUCUCCAGGGCUCUGGCUGUACCACCACCUGGGGCUGCCUCUCCCGUUAGACUUCCUCUUGGUAGCAGGUCAAAGCCCUGGAACUGUUGAGCCGCCUUUGGCUAGUGGGUCUCCCGCCGGGUGGCAGCAAAGUUGCUCUCUGGAAGCACUAGGUCUCUGAAAAAUAAGAAAAUGCCAGGAAACUAGAGCAGAAAGCUGGAAAACAAGGAACCUUACCAAUACCCUCAUCCCCCAUCAGCCACAGCAUCAGUGUCGUGUGGGGAGGGAGAAAGGAGGUGCUGAAGGAGAGGACAAGGUGCAGGAAAGAGGAGGAGAGAAGCCGGUGGGCUGUCCAACGUGAUGGCUCUGAAGCACCAGUGGCUCCUAGGCCCUUUAAGGUCAAUGUGAUUAAUCACGUUCCAUGUACAAGGUGACUUGGCUGUUACUGUAUGUUAUCACCCUCCUCUCUCGUCCCCUUAGAUCAUCUGACUUCAACAACCAACUCUGCAUGAGAACUAGAAAAUGCAAGGAUUUCUAUAGGUCUCUAUGGUGACUGUAUUAGUAUCCCAAGGUCCAAGGGCAUUUGCUACCAAAUUAUCAUUAUUAUUAUUUUUUUUUAUAAUUGUGAAGCUUUUUUUUUUAUUAUACUUUAAGUUUUAGGGUACAUGUGCACCUUGUGCAGGUUAGUUACAUAUGUAUACAUGUGCCAUGCUGGUGCGCUACACCCACUAACUCGUCAUCUGGCAUUAGGUAUAUCUCCCAAUGCUAUCCCUCCCCCCUCCCCCCACCCCACCACAGUCCCCAGAGUAUGAUAUUCCCCUUCCUGUGUCCAUGUGAUCUCAAUGUUCAAUUCCCACCUAUGAGUGAGAAUAUGUGGUGUUUGGUUUUUUGUUCUUGCGAUAGUUUACUGAGAAUGAUGAUUUCCAAUUUCAUCCAUGUCCCUACAAAGGACAUGAACUCAUCAUUUUUUAUGGCUGCAUAGUAUUCCAUGGUGUAUAUGUGCCACAUUUUCUUAAUCCAGUCUAUCAUUGUUGGACAUCUGGGUUGGUUCCAAGUCUUUGCUGUUGUGAAUAAUGCCGCAAUAAACAUACAUGUGCAUGUGU